AUACGGAGGGGGCAAGCGUUAUUCGGAAUUAUUGGGCGUAAAGGGCGCGUAGGCGGCUUGGUAAGUCAACGGUGAAAUCCCUCGGCUCAACCGAGGAAUGGCCUUUGAAACUGCCUCGCUAGAGGCCGGGAGAGGGUAGUGGAAUUCCCAGUGUAGCGGUGAAAUGCGUAGAUAUUGGGAGGAACACCAGUGGCGAAGGCGGCUACCUGGACCGGUUCUGACGCUGAGGUGCGAAAGCGUGGGGAGCAAACAGGAUUAGAUACCCCGGUAGUCC
This 274-nucleotide ribosomal RNA is filed under the name uncultured bacterium. RNAcentral's name for it is "partial 16S ribosomal RNA". It matches the Rfam family "Bacterial small subunit ribosomal RNA", at positions 523 to 796 of the family's 1533-position model. The record is from RNAcentral.